Anser brachyrhynchus (Pink-footed goose) is the source of this 2519-nucleotide long non-coding RNA. The record is from Ensembl. Lineage: Eukaryota; Metazoa; Chordata; Aves; Anseriformes; Anatidae.
CACAGCUACUGGUAUUACUGCUCCAGUAGCCCUGCCACGGUGGGGUGCCCAAGGCUGGACCUGGAGCACCUUGGCCAAGGGCUCUGAAGCCGCGUGGGGGACAUCUGGUGUUGAAACCCUUCUGCACGCGUGGUCAUGCAGAGGCUUUCCCUCUGGCACACAGGAAGGAGCUCCCCACACUUCCCCAGUGCCCUGCAGGGCAGAAACCAGGUGGAGAAGGGAGGGAAUUUGCCUCUGGUGCUCUGCAAAGGCUGGAGGGCUCUAAUCAAGGAGUACUAUAAAGAUAAGAGCAUGCACACUUCUGAAGUACUCAGGCAGCGUGGUGAAAGAAAUCGUGCACUACUCCACUGGAAUCCUUUUGGGGUGGUGCAAGCCGAGCUGGCCCCUCAGUGAAUGAUUCCUUCCAACUACAAGUCAAGCAGUGGAUCAAACACAGAGAAAUAAGAGAAGGAAGGAUUUCUCCUUAUCCCCAGUCAGACUAGUAGCCAUUCAAGCAUACAGUUUUGGAAGAAUAUGUAAAGUAAGAAAAGAGGGAAAUUACUAGGUUGUGAAAGGGCAAGAAUGGAGAAUAGCUUAAUUAAAUUAACUGAGGGAAUAUUUACACUUCCCAUUUCUGAGAUUUGCAAUUCUGUAGAAUAAUCUCCCAGAGGAAGUCAUGAAAACCUCAUCACUGAGCCAUUUUAAAUGAGUUGGAAUAGCUCUACAGCGAACAUCAGUGUGUGGGCUGUGGACUGGCUUAUGGCUUCUCUCUCUUUCUAAUCAAACACACUCCCCUUAUAUCUCUGUGGCAUGAACUGUGACAUAAUCCAUAUCAAUACGUUAAUGUAUUUGAAUUUUAAAACCUGCAUAAAUACUUAUCACAAACAAAUUAAUAAGAUUACCAAGAGGAUUAAUGUGCUAUUGUUUGUCACUUUUCUGUUUUCUGUGAUCAUACAAUAUAAAUGUUAAUUUAAAACUUUUGUAUCACUCUUGAAAGCAUUUCAUGAUGUGGAUGCCCCUUUUAUACACAUUUCUGUUGAAAACUUUCAGCCAUAACUUUGCAUAGUACCAAAUAUUUCUUCUCUUGUCUAAUCCUUGGAAACUUAAGGUAAAGUAGUAUCUUUAUGGGUCAAGAUCCUUUGUUUUCUCUUUUUGUACGUUUUAGCACAGACAUUUCUGAAUUCAUGAAGGAAUAUUUCAGAGGAUUUGAAUUGGCAUUGCACAGUCCUUGGGACAGAGCCCUAAAGGGGUCCUCUGCAGAAGAGAUUAAAACAGCAGCAUCAGGAGCUCAUCAGCAGAGGUCACAAUUCCCAAUGACUCAUUUGGCAUUUCUUUGGCAUUCGUUACCAAAUGUAGACUCUUACAUCUGAUUAUUACCUAAACUGUGUGCUGUCAUUUUGCCUCUAAUAUAAUACCUUGUGCUGCAACUGUGGAGUAGCUAUUUCACAUAUUGUUUCUCCCAUCUAUGUACCAACUGGGAUAAAUAGCAAGGUCUAAAUAUGUAGUACACUUUGCAUAGUACACAACCUUUGACACUUCAGCCUGGCUAAUUCUGUUGCUACUCUAUGGAAUUAAUUCCAUUUUAGCUUACUCUGAUGCUUUAUUUACUUUAUUCAUAAAUAUCUUGAUUCUUUAGCACACAAAUGAUUAAAAUUGAAAUGAGAAAGGUGGAUGUAAGUGGUAUUUAUUACUAGGAGGAAGACAGUAGUUACUGGACCCACUGAAGUUUUUCCUACUAUUUCAAUUAGAGACAAUAUUGUGCUUCACUUUCUAUUGGAAAAUUAUGUUUAAAGUUUCCAUGGAAAACAUCUGCUGUAUUCCACCCCAGCACUGGCAUUUGUUCAGAGAUAGAUUAAAUCAUUCAUUCCAUAUAUGCUAGUAAAUUUAGUUUUCCUUCUGCUAAAGCUGUUAUUGACCGUGGGUUAUUGAAGCACUCAUUUUCUAAAAGCCGAUUUCAAACUUUUUCCAAUUUGACUACUCUGCAAGUAAAUAAUUUACUUCUAUCUUUCGCUAUUCUUUGCACCUUGAAUGCAACGGUUGGUUCUGGACACACAGCAUUUUGAAAAAUCAGGCCAUCAGGCUUUCCCAAACAUAACUCUUGAACAUUUCUUUUAGCUGUUGAUGAUGAUGCAGACAGUGUUCUUCAGAAUUCUUUAUUUUAGCAUAACAUGUUUAUUAUAACAUGGGCAAAGGUAAUUAGAAUCCCAGCUGAUUACUUUUUACAUUUUCUAUCUUGAAACACAAGAAUGGCUCAUUAGAACAGAGCUGCUGUACAACACACACCAGCAAUUCCCUCAGCAGUGGGGCACCUGUGUGCAGCUAGCACAGCAGUAGUGUUUUACACAUUUCAACAUUUUAGAUAAGAGCGAUUUGGCUAUCCUAAAAUUAAAUCUUAAUUUUGAAAGUGGGUAUAAUUAUUACCUUUUUACAGUAAGAUAAAGUGAGAUUUAAACAUCUCUAGCGAAGGCAACAUAGCUAAAUGCCACCAGAAACAAAAUGAAAGCAAUAAAAACUGAAAUCUGUGAUUCUUUUCUUAUAGC